AAAAGUUUUGGGUUUCGAAUUGAUUUGGGGAUCUUUUCGUGUGUAGUUAGGGUUUAUAGAACCGAGUUACAAUCGACUGAAACGAUUUGGGGAGCUUGUGGUUUCUUCUUAAUCUUUGGUAACUCGAUCGUUUGUUCUCGUUGAUGUUUUGUUCUCAUUUGUUCUCGUUUUGUUCUUGUUUGUUCAGGUUAACCAAGCAUGGGACAAGAUUAUUCGUACAGCCAGCCAUCUUCAUCUGACGAGUUCGAC
RNAcentral lists this long non-coding RNA (249 nucleotides) under Brassica napus (rape). Its description in RNAcentral is "long non-coding RNA (BNAP_LNC026634)". The record is from RNAcentral. Lineage: Eukaryota; Viridiplantae; Streptophyta; Magnoliopsida; Brassicales; Brassicaceae.